This 933-nucleotide ribosomal RNA is filed under the name uncultured marine bacterium. Its description in RNAcentral is "bacterial SSU rRNA". It matches the Rfam family "Bacterial small subunit ribosomal RNA", at positions 8 to 916 of the family's 1533-position model. The record is from RNAcentral.
AGAGUUUGAUCCUGGCUCAGGACGAACGCUGGAGGUAUGCCUUCAUACAUGCAAGUCGAACGGAGUCAUGAAGAGCUUGCUUUUCAUGGCUCAGUGGCGAACGGGUGAGUAACGCGUGGGUGACCUGCCUUUCAGACCGGGACAACAGUGGGAAACCACUGCUAAUACCGGAUAAUCUCCAAUCAUUGGAUGUUUGGAGUAAAAGCUGCCAGAAUCAUUGGUAGUACUGAGAGAGGGGCCUGCGUCCUAUUAGCUGGUUGGUGAGGUAACGGCUCACCAAGGCGAAGAUGGGUAGCCGGCUUGAGAGAGUGAUCGGCCACACUGGAACUGAGACACGGUCCAGACUCCUACGGGAGGCAGCAGUAGGGAAUAUUCCGCAAUGGGGGCAACCCUGACGGAGCAAUACCUCGUGGAUGAUGAAGGGUUUAGGCUCGUAAAAUCCAGUCAGCAGGAAAGAAGGCCUGUAGUUCAAACAGGGCUACGGGAUUGACGGUACCUGCAGAGGAAGCAACGGCUAAUUACGUGCCAGCAGCCGCGGUAAUACGUAAGUUGCGAGCGUUGUCCGGAAUUACUGGGCGUAAAGGACGUGCAGGCGGUCUGCAUAGUCGGGUGUGAAAUACCGGGGCUCAACCCCGGGGCUGCAUCCGAUACUGGCAGACUAGAGUCUUGGAGGGGAGAGCAGAAUUCCAGGUGUAGCGGUGAAAUGCGUAGAUAUCUGGGAGAAUACCGGUGGCGAAGGCGGCUCUCUGGCCAAGUACUGACGCUGAGGCGUGAAAGCGUGGGUAGCAAACAGGAUUAGAUACCCUGGUAGUCCACGCUGUAAACGGUGGGCACUUGCCGUUGGGCCAGCGAUGGUUCAGUGGCGAAGCUAACGUAUUAAGUGCCCCGCCUGGGGAGUACGGUCGCAAGAUUAAAACUCAAAGGAAUUGACGG